This is a long non-coding RNA of Aricia agestis (brown argus), 75 nucleotides long. RefSeq lists it as uncharacterized. The transcript is spliced from 3 exons. The record is from RefSeq and is a predicted model, not a curated record. Lineage: Eukaryota; Metazoa; Arthropoda; Insecta; Lepidoptera; Lycaenidae.
ACUUACGCAUUACUUUAAUCAAGACUUCGACAUAAACUCCAUACGUUUUCUGUCAAACUCUUUAUUAAAUUUAAG